UACUUCAAUAGCACACAUAGUAGUAAUAUACUAAAUUUGUAAUGAUAAAGAAGAUUGACAUGGCCCCUGUGUCAGGAUGACAAAUUUGUGAUGCAUUACAUAUCUCU
Gracilinanus agilis (Agile Gracile Mouse Opossum) is the source of this 107-nucleotide small nuclear RNA. Lineage: Eukaryota; Metazoa; Chordata; Mammalia; Didelphimorphia; Didelphidae. The record is from RefSeq and is a predicted model, not a curated record.